GACGAACGCUGGCGGCGUGCUUAACACAUGCAAGUCGAACGAAGAGCGAUGGAAGCUUGCUUCUAUCAAUCUUAGUGGCGAACGGGUGAGUAACGCGUAAUCAACCUGCCCUUCAGAGGGGGACAACAGUUGGAAACGACUGCUAAUACCGCAUACGAUCUGACCUCGGCAUCGAGGAUAGAUGAAAGGUGGCCUCUAUUUAUAAGCUAUCACUGAAGGAGGGGAUUGCGUCUGAUUAGCUAGUUGGAGGGGUAACGGCCCACCAAGGCGAUGAUCAGUAGCCGGUCUGAGAGGAUGAACGGCCACAUUGGGACUGAGACACGGCCCAGACUCCUACGGGAGGCAGCAGUGGGGAAUCUUCCGCAAUGGACGAAAGUCUGACGGAGCAACGCCGCGUGAGUGAUGACGGCCUUCGGGUUGUAAAGCUCUGUUAAUCGGGACGAAAGGCCUUCUUGCGAAUAGUUAGAAGGAUUGACGGUACCGGGAUAGAA
RNAcentral lists this ribosomal RNA (491 nucleotides) under Veillonella dispar. Its description in RNAcentral is "bacterial SSU rRNA". It matches the Rfam family "Bacterial small subunit ribosomal RNA", at positions 28 to 488 of the family's 1533-position model. Lineage: Bacteria; Bacillati; Bacillota; Negativicutes; Veillonellales; Veillonellaceae. The record is from RNAcentral.